Molecule: ribosomal RNA, 443 nt
Filed under: uncultured bacterium
Lineage: Bacteria
Description: partial 16S ribosomal RNA
Rfam family: Bacterial small subunit ribosomal RNA
Source: RNAcentral
CCUACGGGAGGCAGCAGUGGGGAAUAUUGGGCAAUGGGCGCAAGCCUGACCCAGCAACGCCGCGUGAAGGAAGAAGGCUUUCGGGUUGUAAACUUCUUUUGUCAGGGACGAAACAAGUGACGGUACCUGACGAAUAAGCCACGGCUAACUACGUGCCAGCAGCCGCGGUAAUACGUAGGUGGCAAGCGUUAUCCGGAUUUACUGGGUGUAAAGGGCGUGUAGGCGGGGAAGCAAGUCAGAUGUGAAAACCACGGGCUCAACCUGUGGCCUGCAUUUGAAACUGUUUUUCUUGAGUGCUGGGGAGGCAAUCGGAAUUCCGGGUGUAGCGGUGAAAUGCGUAGAUAUACGGAGGAACACCAGUGGCGAAGGCGGAUUGCUGGACAGUAACUGACGCUGAGGCGCGAAAGCGUGGGGAGCAAACAGGAUUAGAUACCCCAGUAGUC